AAGGAUCAGGAGAUGCAGAUCGGACACCCCACCGAUGUCAAACACGUGGCGCAUGUGGGUUGCGACGGCUCCUCCAAUCACUCCCCGAGUUGGAUGAACGAGUUUCAAUCGGAGCCGGGCCCCGAGGAUGCGGACGACGCCGAUGCUACGGCCGCCGCCCCCCAAGUCAAGCACCACACACCAGAACCCCAUCAAGGCGGCGGUUCCUCUGCCGAGGCGUCUGCGACGCCGCUGCCCCGUCCCUCGCGGCGCGUAGACACCCUGAAUCACGACGACUCUUCCUCCGACCGGCAUUCGCGGCGCCACCAGUCGUCCGGCGCCGUCUCCGGCGACAACCCCCGGUUACGGGAUACCUCUGAGGAGUCCAAGCACGGGCGGAGGCACCGCAGCUCCGCCGGCAUCGUCGGCGCGGAGCAGACGGCUCCCGAUCUCCCCACCGUCCCCAAGCAGCCACGCCGCCGCAAGGCAAAGGGCUCAUCAUCCACCGCCGGUGGCAGUAGCGGGACCACGAAGUCGUCGAGAUCAAAGGCGGUGAUCCCGUCGGAAUCGGGAUCCGAAGAGCAGAGAUCCGAACCGAUCGCCCCGCCAGUCUUAAAGCCAACGAUGGAAGAAGAAAAGGAAAACGAAGAGGAAGGGGUAGGGGAAGAAAAGAAGGCCACUGGCGCUCUCCAUUCAUUCGACGCAGCCUCCAUAUGAAUCCGUCUGUAGAAGAAACAAGAAAGAAACACUAGCUGAAAUCUCAAAUUUUGUUGCUUGCGUCCGACGCGAUGACGUCCACGAACAUUUCUCUUCCUUGUGAGGCACACCGUCGUUUUGGUGGCCGCAUUGAGUUUGAUCACUAAAUUAGUUGCUUCGUUUAUAAGGAAAAAUGAAAUGAGAAGGAAUUUGUUACUUUGGCCGUUUGCCGUCGAUUAAAAUAUUUAGGGCUUUAUAGAUCUACGCGUCACGUGCAAGUCACGUGUACCGUCUUUGGCUAUAAAUUAGCUAUAACCGCUCGUCUGGAACUUGGAACCCUAAGUCGGUUGUUCCGUUCCCAUCGUCAUCGUCAUAAUAUCGCCGCGCGGAGUUGCAGGCCACCAAGAUGUAUCUCCAGUUCUACAUCAAUGAGAAUGGCGACAAGGUCUACACCACGAAG
This is an RNA transcript of Musa acuminata AAA Group (dessert banana), 1135 nucleotides long. It is a transcript of the gene named H/ACA ribonucleoprotein complex subunit 3-like protein, with no coding region annotated. The record is from RefSeq and is a predicted model, not a curated record. The transcript has 4 exons. NCBI's taxonomy places the organism in Eukaryota, Viridiplantae, Streptophyta, Magnoliopsida, Zingiberales, Musaceae.